RNAcentral lists this ribosomal RNA (253 nucleotides) under uncultured bacterium. RNAcentral's name for it is "partial 16S ribosomal RNA". It matches the Rfam family "Bacterial small subunit ribosomal RNA", at positions 524 to 776 of the family's 1533-position model. The record is from RNAcentral.
UACGGGGGGGGCAAGCGUUGUUCGGAAUUAUUGGGCGUAAAGGGUGCGUAGGUGGUUGGGUAAGUCUGAUGUGAAAUCUCCGGGCUCAACCCGGAAAUGGCAUUGGAUACUAUUCGGCUAGAGGUUUGGAGGGGGGACUGGAAUUCUCGGUGUAGCAGUGAAAUGCGUAGAUAUCGAGAGGAACACCAGUGGCGAAGGCGAGUCCCUGGACAACACCUGACACUGAGGCACGAAAGCUAGGGGAGCAAACAGG